AAUGGGAUGGCUGACAAAGGUGAUAAAUUGUAAAUUUAUUUAUGAUAUUUUAUGUAUCUCCUAUUA
RNAcentral lists this transfer RNA (66 nucleotides) under Amphigerontia montivaga. RNAcentral describes it as "tRNA-Tyr". Lineage: Eukaryota; Metazoa; Arthropoda; Insecta; Psocodea; Psocidae. The record is from RNAcentral.